CCAGGAUUCUCCUAGUAACGGCGAGUGAACGGAGAUUAGCCCAUCACCGAAGCCUGCGUGUGUUUGCAUGCUAGGCAAUGUGGUGUUUUAAGCUUGUACCUGGGAUCGUGUGCCUACCCGAAGUCUAAAUCCGAUUGUGGCUUUGGAUUCAUUCCAUAGCGGGUGAAAGUCCCGUGCGGGUAGGACUAUUGCAAUUUACACGAUCCCAGGUACAAGCUUAAACACCACAUUGCCUAGCAUGCAAACACACGCAGGCUUUGGUGAUCAAGGCUAAUAUCCGUUCACUAGCCGUUAGUAGGCAAAUCCGAGAGGGAAAGUUGAAAAGUACUCUGAAGAGAGAGUAAAUAGUACGUGAAGCCGAUUGCAGGGAAGCUGGUGGAGUCAAGCUACGUGCUUGAGGGAUUGAUGCUGAGAGCAGGUGUGUCAUUUGUAUGCGAGUUUGGUCAACUUGGAAUAAGUUGGGCGUGUUCUGAAUGCGCUUCAAGUCAUUCUGGGUAGACUGUUUGUGGCCUUGCUCGCUUUACUACUCUCAGUAUUGUAUUCCUCGCUGCACAGGCCACAGUCGAUACGUGCAUGCGGUAUGAAGGUCUAACUGUGCUUCGGCGGGUGCAAGCUCUCCGUGUGCAGGAUGGCAGGUGCUGUCUUCAGGCCUCGUGUCUGUUGGUAGUUGUUGUGGUUUCGACCGGCUGGUCUUCAUACUGUAUUGUGCAUAUUGCCUAUGAAUGGCGCUGCUUCUUCGGAAGUAGUGCUGUGAAGAACUGUGGCUCUGAGGUAGACUUUCCACCGGACCCGUCUUGAAACACGGACCAAGGAGUUUAACAUGCGCGCAAGUCAAUGGGCAUAUUACGAAACCCAAAGGCGCAAUGAAAGUGAAAGCUUCGGCUUAGGUGUGAUCCUGGUUUGCUCCUGACAGGGCGACCGGGCGCAGCACCGGCCCGUCUCAAAAUGUUGUCAUUUUGGCCACGGUCAGAG
This 972-nucleotide ribosomal RNA is filed under the name Cichlidogyrus sclerosus. RNAcentral describes it as "LSU rRNA". It matches the Rfam family "Eukaryotic large subunit ribosomal RNA", at positions 69 to 800 of the family's 3401-position model. Lineage: Eukaryota; Metazoa; Platyhelminthes; Monogenea; Dactylogyridea; Ancyrocephalidae. The record is from RNAcentral.